RNAcentral lists this ribosomal RNA (285 nucleotides) under unidentified marine eubacterium. RNAcentral's name for it is "partial 16S ribosomal RNA". It matches the Rfam family "Bacterial small subunit ribosomal RNA", at positions 527 to 812 of the family's 1533-position model. The record is from RNAcentral.
GGGAGUGGCAAGCGUUAUCCGGAAUUAUUGGGCGUAAAGCGUCCGCAGGCGGCCCUUCAAGUCUGCUGUUAAAAAGUGGAGCUUAACUCCAUCAUGGCAGUGGAAACUGUUGGGCUUGAGUGUGGUAGGGGCAGAGGGAAUUCCGGUGUAGCGGUGAAAUGCGUAGAUAUCGGGAAGAACACCAGUGGCGAAGGCGCUCUCUGGGGCCAUCACUGACGCUCAUGGACGAAAGCCAGGGGAGCGAAAGGGAUUAGAUACCCCUGUAGUCCUGGCCGUAAACGAUGA